RNAcentral lists this ribosomal RNA (406 nucleotides) under uncultured bacterium. RNAcentral describes it as "partial 16S ribosomal RNA". It matches the Rfam family "Bacterial small subunit ribosomal RNA", at positions 29 to 526 of the family's 1533-position model. The record is from RNAcentral.
AUUGAACGCUGGUGGCAGGCCUAACACAUGCAAGUCGAACGAGUGGCGGACGGGUGAGUAAUGUCUGGGAACCUGCCUGAUGGAGGGGGAUAACUACUGGAAACGGUAGCUAAUACCGCAUACCAUCGGAUGUGCCCAGAUGGGAUGAGCUAGUGGGUGGGGUAACGGGGCACCUGGGCGACGAUCCCUAGCUGGUCUGAGAGGAUGACCAGCCACGCAGGAAGUGAAAGACGGUGCAGACUCCUACGGUAGGCAGCAGUGGGGAAUAGUGCACAGUGGGCGCAAGCGUGAUGCGGACAUGGCACUGGUAUGAGGAGAGCCUUGGGGGUGUAAGAAAGUUUCAGCGGUGAGGCGUUACCGGCAGAAGAAGCGCCGGCUAACUCCGUGCCAGCAGCCGCGGUAAUAC